UAACCUCACCUCUUCUCCUUAACCCCGAUUCUUUUCUCCUCUUUUUCUCUCUCGCGCAGGCGACUCGACACCGACGGAGGGCAAGUUUUUCCCAGCGAUCUCAUUCUUUCCGUAUCGCCUGAGGUACGUCGUCGGAUCUCGACGGUGCCGGCCAUCUCCGACUGAGAGGUCGUCUUCUCGGUGGUUUCUUACUCGCGGUCGGCAAUAACUUGGCGCCUAGGGCACACGGUGGAUUCUUCUGGUGUCAUUCCCAGCCGAUCGAGUUCUUUUCGAUUCUCCUCUUCGAUCUGCCCAUUGGAGGGUGAACCGAAUCAUUAUCAGCUGAAGCGGAUCAGGCGACACCAUCUGGAGGAGACAAAUCGAGAGGGAAGCAUUGGUUUAGCCUAGUGAUGGAUUUCCCCUAAGCAGAUCAUUGCCUUCUCCAUUUCUUGCGGCAAUUAGGGUCUCGGGUGAAGAAGUGGAGGUCUGUUGGAGGGAUUCUUGGUAGCUGUAGGUAGGGGUCUUGUUGGCCGGGAGAUUUGGAAUUUGCUGUCAAAACCUCAAGGACUUGGAUUCGAGGCGAGCGUCUCGAUGUAGGGUUUCUGGACACGAUUUACGUAAAAAGUAGGUAGAUGAUACAAGAGCGCUUGGAGGAUCUUGACUGCCAACCUCUCGUCACAUUCGAGUACAAACUUUUGGGUUUUAUUGAGAUUUUGGUUUCUCUUUGAUUUCAUGAACUUGAUUCUGUAAUAAUUUUGAUGUGGACUUGAAACUUAGUCUUGUGGUUUCGCGCAUUUUGGUUUGUUGGUAUUGUGUCAAGCUGGGUCAGCUCGCAUGUGGAUAUUUUGUGGUCUUGUGAUUUCUGUUGUUCUUUUGUUUCAGCCGACUAGGCUGUUAUUAAACGUGUGGUUAUGAUUUCAUCCAGUCGUGUAGGCUGCUAUUAAACUGCAUGGUUGUAUUUUCAUCUAGUCGUGUGGGAUGUUGUA
Zingiber officinale is the source of this 965-nucleotide long non-coding RNA. RefSeq lists it as uncharacterized. The record is from RefSeq and is a predicted model, not a curated record. Lineage: Eukaryota; Viridiplantae; Streptophyta; Magnoliopsida; Zingiberales; Zingiberaceae. The transcript has 5 exons.